This is a long non-coding RNA of Nematostella vectensis (starlet sea anemone), 1042 nucleotides long. RefSeq lists it as uncharacterized. Lineage: Eukaryota; Metazoa; Cnidaria; Anthozoa; Actiniaria; Edwardsiidae. The record is from RefSeq and is a predicted model, not a curated record. The transcript is spliced from 2 exons.
CGCUCGAGUAUGCGAAGGUAGUCCGUGUGUUUGGAGAGUUUUGGGUAGAUUUGGUGAAGACAUCCAAAUGUCUGAGGACUGCUCGGCGAUGCACCUUCAGCCCUGGGAAAGAGGUUUUGAACAUGUUUUGUAAAGGAUCUGGCAGAUCAAACAGCCCGCCAAGCCAGUAAAAGUCACACCCUACCCGCCGUCCACAUGAGAACUGCAACAAGAGAAAAGAGGUCCAGGAUAAAUAAGACAAGAAGUUGAUUAGAAAAUGGUUCCCUCCCACCUUCAGAAUAACUACAAAAUGAGGCAAAAGGUUGAAGGAUAAACAAGGCAAGAUGUGUUGGACCCAAUCACUGCUGCAAGAUGAGUGCCCAAACAAUACUGAAGUUUUCUCCCCCUCUGUACAGCAAUAUGAGAAGCACAACAAAAUUGGAAACCCAGUUUGUUUGGUAAUCCAUAGCACCAGUGUUGAGGGGGUACCUAAAUCUUGUUUUCCUUAGCCUUCCCUGAGGCUUCAGUGCCAAUACUGUCUUCCCCCUAAUCCUAUUCCUGUCUAGUAACUCGAUAGCCAUUUCUCGGCCAAAAAAGGGUGAAGGGUUCCUGUGUGACCCUUUAAUAGUGAUUUACCCCUACUUUGUUACAAAACAAGUGGCCUCAAUGAUGGACAGGCAGGGUUUAGUAUUUUUGGCCCAGUCAGUUUCUAUCCUUGUUUUUUGCUGUUGUUGUUUUGUUAUUAUUGUUAUUUGAAGGGGGUGGUAUAGAAUUUAUAUGAUUAUGUAUAUGAUUGGUAUCUCUCACCCCCCCCCCCCCCCCCUCCCGAAGCAUACAGCUGAGUACCACCUGCAAACUAGGGUGGGCCUUAGAUGACUGAACUAUGUUGAUAUUGCAACAAAAUAUGACAUGGAAUAAAUUGUGUUUAGGACAUAUGACAGGCAUCAAUAGAACACUGUAUUUUGGCAUACAGUAGGUAUAACUUGAUAAAUUAAAUACUUGAAAUAGUUAUUUAUGAAAGCAUUUGUUUGCAGAUUAUCAUAUUAAAUGUGCUGUUCAUUUC